Molecule: unclassified non-coding RNA, 171 nt
Filed under: rhizosphere metagenome
Description: partial ribosomal RNA internal transcribed spacer region
Source: RNAcentral
GUAGGUGAACCUGCGGAAGGAUCAUUAACGAACGAGGAAUUCAAUUUAUUUGAAUUUCUUGGGAUCAACCAAAACCUGUAUGAUGAUGUAAAUUGUAUAUCGAUUAAUAAUCGUAUACGAAAAUAAUUUUAAUAAAAUACAAAACUUUCAACAACGGAUCUCUUGGCUCUU